Molecule: ribosomal RNA, 506 nt
Filed under: uncultured bacterium
Lineage: Bacteria
Description: partial 16S ribosomal RNA
Rfam family: Bacterial small subunit ribosomal RNA
Source: RNAcentral
AUUGAACGCUGGCGGCAUGCCUUACACAUGCAAGUCGAACGGCAGCAUGGAAGAGCUUGCUCUUCUGAUGGCGAGUGGCGAACGGGUGAGUAAAGCAUCGGAACGUACCGUGUAGUGGGGGAUAACGUAGCGAAAGUUACGCUAAUACCGCAUACGCACUGAGGUGGAAAGCAGGGGAUCGCAAGACCUUGCGCUAUCCGAGCGGCCGAUGUCAGAUUAGCUAGUUGGUGGGGUAAAGGCCUACCAAGGCGACGAUCUGUAGCGGGUCUGAGAGGAUGAUCCGGCACACGGGAACUGGGAAACGGACCAGACUCCUACGGGAGGCAGCAGUGGGGAAUGUUGGACAAUGGGGGAAACCCUGAUCCAGCCAUGCCGCGUGAGUGAAGAAGGCCUUCGGGUUGUAAAGCUCUUUCGGCUGGGAAGAAAUCGCACAGGCUAAUACUCUGUGUGGAUGACGGUACCAGCAUAAGAAGCACCGGCUAACUACGUGCCAGCCGCCGCAGUAA